AUUGAACGCUGGCGGCAUGCCUUACACAUGCAAGUCGAACGGUAACAGGUCUUCGGAUGCUGACGAGUGGCGAACGGGUGAGUAAUACAUCGGAACGUGCCCGAGAGUGGGGGAUAACGAAGCGAAAGCUUUGCUAAUACCGCAUACGAUCUCAGGAUGAAAGCAGGGGACCGCAAGGCCUUGCGCUCACGGAGCGGCCGAUGGCAGAUUAGGUAGUUGGUGGGAUAAAAGCUUACCAAGCCGACGAUCUGUAGCUGGUCUGAGAGGACGACCAGCCACACUGGGACUGAGACACGGCCCAGACUCCUACGGGAGGCAGCAGUGGGGAAUUUUGGACAAUGGGCGCAAGCCUGAUCCAGCCAUGCCGCGUGCAGGAUGAAGGCCUUCGGGUUGUAAACUGCUUUUGUACGGAACGAAAAGACUCUGGUUAAUACCUGGGGUUCAUGACGGUACCGUAAGAAUAAGCACCGGCUAACUACGUGCCAGCCGCCGCGGUAA
RNAcentral lists this ribosomal RNA (498 nucleotides) under uncultured bacterium. RNAcentral's name for it is "partial 16S ribosomal RNA". It matches the Rfam family "Bacterial small subunit ribosomal RNA", at positions 30 to 523 of the family's 1533-position model. The record is from RNAcentral.